This 493-nucleotide ribosomal RNA is filed under the name uncultured bacterium. Its description in RNAcentral is "partial 16S ribosomal RNA". It matches the Rfam family "Bacterial small subunit ribosomal RNA", at positions 29 to 523 of the family's 1533-position model. The record is from RNAcentral.
AUUGAACGCUGGCGGCAUGCUUUACACAUGCAAGUCGAACGGUAACAGGUUAAGCUGACGAGUGGCGAACGGGUGAGUGAUGCAUCGGAACGUGCCCGGUCGUGGGGGAUAACGCAGCGAAAGCUGCGCUAAUACCGCAUACGAUCGGAGGAUGAAAGCGGGGGACCGUAAGGCCUCGCGCGAUCGGAGCGGCCGAUGUCAGAUUAGGUAGUUGGUGGGGUAAAGGCCCACCAAGCCGACGAUCUGUAGCUGGUCUGAGAGGACGACCAGCCACACUGGGACUGAGACACGGCCCAGACUCCUACGGGAGGCAGCAGUGGGGAAUUUUGGACAAUGGACGAAAGCCUGAUCCAGCAAUGCCGCGUGCAGGAAGAAGGCCUUCGGGUUGUAAACUGCUUUUGUACGGAGCGAAAAGGUCCUUUCUAAUACAAGGGGCUCAUGACGGUACCGUAAGAAUAAGCACCGGCUAACUACGUGCCAGCCGCCGCCGUAA